UUCACAUUUCUCAGCAAUUUGACAACAAAACAAAACACAGAUAUGUUGAGGCAACGAAGAAGGCGCAGUUUGAAAAUGGAGUUAUUAGUAAUGAAGUAGCAGGCAUAUUUGGAAAAUUAUGCCGAUAAGCAGGAUGGAAUUUGUGCAAGUAAGUGCCUGGUUGCAGCAUAUCUAUGUAUUAAAAUAGUAUUUAAUUAAAUGAAAUUGCGUUUAAUGGAAAUGUCAUAAAUCGAGUGGCGUUAUUUAAGAUGUGCUCCAAGCAUUUGGCGGACUUUUUUCGCCUUCUCAACGUGCUAAGUUACGAGUUAAGAUGACUACCACCACGGCCGGUAAGAAACCCGAAGCAAAGGGCAAACAACCUUACAGGAAGCUGCCUGCUGUCCCCGAGUCGUAGCUGUAGUUCAGCAAGAAGCAGGUCAGCAAACGUGCUACCUUGAUCAAGCGUAAACUAAAGCGCUCUGCUGUGAUUGCACUCGGCAAACAUGAAAACUUGGUGCAUGCUGAGAAAUAUCAAGCAAAAUAUCCGUGAUGGACGCCUUGAGAAUAAGUUUCGCCGCCUGGCAAAGAAACGCGGCUUUUGUGGUCUGCAUCCGCGGUAUCAACAAAGUUGCACCAAAAGUGCGUAAAGUUUUACUGUUCCGUUUUCGCCACAUUAAACACGGUUUGUUCAUCAAAUUGAACCAUUAAUACGCUACGCAUUGCCGAACCCUAUAUCACAUUGGGUUAUCCUAAUCUUAAAUCAGUUCGUGAAUUGAUCUGCAAACGUGCAAUUGUCAAGUACAACCAUCAACGUGUCCUAAUCUCUGACAACUUUGUGAUCGAACGCAAAUUGCGUAAAGAGCAUGAUAUUCAAAGCGUUGAUUAUUUGGCGCACGAAAUAUUCACUGUUGGAUCCCACUUCAAGAAUGCCUCCAACUUCCAGUGGCCAUUCAAAAAUAAAAUAAAUAAAAAUUUACGAAUACA
Molecule: long non-coding RNA, 963 nt
Organism: Rhagoletis pomonella (apple maggot)
Lineage: Eukaryota; Metazoa; Arthropoda; Insecta; Diptera; Tephritidae
Exons: 2
Source: RefSeq, a predicted model, not a curated record